AUUGAACGCUGGCGGAAUGCUUUACACAUGCAAGUCGAACGGUAGAGGGGGCAACCCCUCGAGAGUGGCGAACGGGUGAGUAAUAUAUCGGAACGUGCCCAGUCGUGGGGGAUACCGUAGCGAAAGUUACGCUAAUACCGCAUACGAUCUAAGGAUGAAAGCGGGGGAUCGCAAGACCUCGCGCGAUUGGAGCGGCCGAUAUCAGAUUAGGUAGUUGGGGGGGUAAAGGCUCACCAAGCCAACGAUCUGUAGCUGGUCUGAGAGGACGACCAGCCACACUGGAACUGAGACACGGUCCAGACUCCUACGGGAGGCAGCAGUGGGGAAUUUUGGACAAUGGACGCAAGUCUGAUCCAGCCAUUCCGCGUGCAGGAUGAAGGCCCUCGGGUUGUAAACUGCUUUUGUACGGAGCGAAAAGGUCUCUCUUAAUACGGGGGACUCAUGACGGUACCGUAAGAAUAAGCACCGGCUAACUACGUGCCAGCCGCCGCUGUAA
Molecule: ribosomal RNA, 496 nt
Filed under: uncultured bacterium
Lineage: Bacteria
Description: partial 16S ribosomal RNA
Rfam family: Bacterial small subunit ribosomal RNA
Source: RNAcentral